AAGGUGAGACGUCCUUCGCCACGAUUCA
This 28-nucleotide small RNA is filed under the name Bombyx mori (domestic silkworm). Its description in RNAcentral is "ovarian small RNA-10660". Lineage: Eukaryota; Metazoa; Arthropoda; Insecta; Lepidoptera; Bombycidae. The record is from RNAcentral.